GUGGGGAAUUUUCCGCAAUGGGCGAAAGCCUGACGGAGCAAUACCGCGUGAGGGAUGACGGCCUAUGGGUUGUAAACCUCUUUUUUCAGGGAGGAACAAAAUGACGUGUACCUGAAGAAUAAGCAUCGGCUAACUCCGUGCCAGCAGCCGCGGUAAGACGGAGGAUGCAAGUGUUAUCCGGAAUCACUGGGCGUAAAGCGUCUGUAGGUGGUUUAAUAAGUCAACUGUUAAAUCUUGAGGCUCAACCUCAAAAUCGCAGUCGAAACUAUUAGACUAGAGUAUAGUAGGGGUAAAGGGAAUUUCCAGUGGAGCGGUGAAAUGCGUAGAUAUUGGAAAGAACACCGAUGGCGAAGGCACUUUACUGGGCUAUUACUAACACUCAGAGACGAAAGCUAGGGUAGCAAAUGGGAUUAGAUACCCGAGUAGUCC
RNAcentral lists this ribosomal RNA (429 nucleotides) under uncultured bacterium. Its description in RNAcentral is "bacterial SSU rRNA". It matches the Rfam family "Bacterial small subunit ribosomal RNA", at positions 354 to 796 of the family's 1533-position model. The record is from RNAcentral.